AAAGUCGUAACAAGGUUUCCGUAGGUGAACCUGCGGAAGGAUCAUUAUCACGUAUCCACGUAUAAACCAUUGUGAACCGUUCUUUAACCUCCACGAACAUUGGAUGCCUGCGCACCGUAAAAAAGUGCGUUUGUAUUCAAUGCGAAAUGGAGCGUAUUCAACCUAUUAACCAUUUUAACCAAUCUUUAUAACUUUAUGAACUAACUUUAUUUUAUACUCUUCGGAGAUAAAAUUCAUUACGAAACAAAGAACAACUCUUAGCAACGGAUAUCUUGGUUCUC
This 281-nucleotide unclassified non-coding RNA is filed under the name Cercozoa sp. RNAcentral describes it as "partial contains small subunit ribosomal RNA, internal transcribed spacer 1, and 5.8S ribosomal RNA". The stretch from base 1 to 47 matches the Rfam family "Eukaryotic small subunit ribosomal RNA", at positions 1785 to 1831 of the family's 1831-position model. Lineage: Eukaryota; Cercozoa. The record is from RNAcentral.